GGUCCGUUGGUGUAAUGGGUAGCACAAACCGUUAUUUCUCCUGCGACUCUUUUCUAUAGCGGGGCGGACAGGUCCCGGUUCAACUCAGGGGCGGGCCA
Molecule: non-coding RNA, 98 nt
Organism: Sordaria macrospora k-hell
Lineage: Eukaryota; Fungi; Ascomycota; Sordariomycetes; Sordariales; Sordariaceae
Source: the annotation of a RefSeq genome assembly